GCGAAAAUUAACCAGCAAAAAAAAUCGCAAACCAAUCCCGCACAUACGACCGAGGUCUCUUGCCCUCAAGCGACAAACAGUCGCCAGACUCUGUGCCCUUGUUCGCCGCCGCCGCCCUUCGUCCAUUCACCGCCGCCGCUCCAUCACUUCGCCGCCGGCCGAUGGAUUCGCCGGGUCGUCGCUCCUCAGGGCCAGCCCCUCCCGCCGCGCUGGAUCACGUGGCGGCCUAGGGAACCCUAACCAGCCCCCGAUCUUCGCAUCUCUCCCUGAAUCCCUCCUCCUCCACGAGCCGCGCGGUGUGCUUCCCUCCUCCCACACGAUGCUCCUCUCCCUCCCCAAAUCGACAUGGAUCUCGCGCUGCUGGAUCCCCUCCUCUCCCUCCCCAAAUCGACAUGGAUCUCGCGCUGCUGGAUCCCCUCCUCUCCCUCCCUGACUUGCCGUGAAUCUUGUGCUGCGAGAGCUGCUCUAUCCCUUCCCUGGCCGCCAUAGAUCUCGCCAGCCACCAUCGGAGGAAGCCCCACAAACCCAAGUUUGAUGGGCUUGCCAGCGAUGUUGAGGUCCUUGCCAUGGCUCCGAGCCUGGAGAGUAGCGCUGUCCCAGAUUGAGGUGGAGCUCCGGAGGGAGAUGACGCUGUUCAAGACGCUGGCCAUCACUUUCUCCAGGAUGAUGAUCUUCACUGGGAUCACGUCUUUGUACGGUAGCAUCCUCCAGUUAGGAAGGCCUGCCGGCCAGCCUCGUGUGGGGCUGGGUCAUCAUCUCCUUCUUCACCUGGUUAAUGGGUGUCGUCAUGUUGGGGAUUUCUCCUUGCCUUUGUCUGAACCUCUAACUACUGAAGCUGAAAAUGAAGUUCACGAUUGUUUGUAUGGUAACGGUUCAGGUAGCAAAAGUCCUGGUGCUACAUGAAACGUCUAACACUCAGGUUAGCAGGAAAAAAAACAGUGUUUGAGACCACAUGGCAGGUUAAAUGAUGAGCUAAAUAUUCAUCUUACAUGUACUAAACCAUCCUUAUUGAUUGCAAACAUGUAAACUUUGCACUGAUGUUUUUAUACGUAAUGGGGAAAGUGGGAUCCCUUGUCUUCAGGUCAUUAAUUUGUACCUUGAAUUGUUAAAGGAGAUGGGAAUGAAAAACCCAAAAGGUUCUUUAAAUGCAGCUUCUUCAAUACAUUUAUAUUGACAGUUGAUAGAUGGAUCCAGUAGGCCUUGGUAGUGCUAAGCGUGUUUGAUUCCACUAUUGCUAAGCGUGUUUGAAACCACUAUUGCUUGAGUCGUUCUUCCGGUCUCUCAUUGGUACGUGGGGCGUACCCCACGUAACAUUAUGUUUCUCUGAUAAAUUUGCUGAUGUGAAGGUCAGACAAUUCCGAGAAUCAGACCUGCCAAUAUGAGAAGUUAAAUGUAAGAAAUGAGAAUAAGGAAGUAGUUUUCUUCGAUGAAGAAGAUACAAAACCGCUGAAUCCGUUGAUGUCAAGGUGGCUAAUAAACGGUAAAUUGGUAACACGAUAAGUGAUAAUAAUUUUGCCUACUAACACGAGAGCAAAAGGUACUAUUCAUGAUAUUUGUGUGCUUGUGUUUAAUUAGAUCAAUUCUUUGGCCUCCGAGAAGAUGCUAUCCAGGGUGUUUGAUCCAUCUCCCGUCAGACUUAUUUUUGUUGAUCUUGUGCUUGACACCAAUUAUUUCUUCUUCUCAAAAAAAAGGAGGAAGAGGAGACCCCUGGUGGCGCGGACAUCCAACGACCCGGACAUCGUCCUCCCGUGACGUCCUCCUCCAAGCCCGAAUCCAGUGCCUCCUCAAGAAAUGGAGAAGCGCCAUGGUUGGCUGUUGCUUGAGGAAAUGAGGAGAUGCAUAUGCCAGCAAUGUUGUUGGAGGAAGGAACACUUCCAUAUUCUAUAAGGCCGAUGCCAAGGAAGGUGAGGGUCCUGUGGCUGGCUGCUGCUAGGAAUAGCAGGCAGUAGGGAAGUUUCUUUCUGAUUUGAAGUGUGCAGAUUGGGACAGCUCGCUUUUUGUGAGCAACCAUCUGAAUGCUAAAAUGUCAUAAAUGGCUGUGAACAGAUCGGAUAUGAUUCAUACAUCAGGUGAAAUAGUUGUGACCUCAUGUUGCAGUAUCUACCAAAGAAUAUAUGUGAAAUCCAAGGAAUCAUUUCUGACUUCUGAGCGAUUUGUGGUAGGGCUCAAGAUAUGUGGUUUUGGAUUAGGGUAUGACUCAAGAUAUGUGACUUCCAAGGGAACUGCAAACUCAAGAUAUGUGGUCUUGGACUAGCAAGAUUUGCAUCCAGUGACACCCCUACAACAGUUUUCUGGAUGGACCAUGUCACCACCUGAUGGUACCGAGCUCAUGAACUCUGUAAUGUUCUAUCAUUACCAAGUGUUGUUAACAAUUUCCGGAGGCUAACUUAGAGGAAGAUAGAGGAAAGAGCAGGGCAGUUGAGGGGAAGUACAUUUCUCACUGGAGACACUUUUUCAGAUUACUAGACAUAUAGGAAGAAUUAUGAAACUAAAAUGGGAUGUUACUGUUGGCAUUUGAUGACAAAGUGAGGCCAAUAUAGAACAAAAACUAAGCUUUUGGGACUAACCACGGAAUAUUAGUACUAUAUGCUGAUAUUGACAAGCCGCACUAUCUUCUCCGGUGGCAUGGGCAACGUGUAUUAUGUCGAAGUGUGUGGGAUUAUUGAUUUUAUGUCUUUAUUUUUACUAAUAUAUAUUUAUACAAGGACGACAAUCAACAAAAUGUGUAUUUCUCAUUCAACCAGUGUCCUCGUAUGUAAAGACAAGUAAUGCUUCGAGCACAUGAGAAAGAAAACAGUACUUAAGAAUUUUCCUA
Molecule: long non-coding RNA, 2815 nt
Organism: Triticum aestivum (bread wheat)
Lineage: Eukaryota; Viridiplantae; Streptophyta; Magnoliopsida; Poales; Poaceae
Exons: 12
Source: RefSeq, a predicted model, not a curated record